GGUGUCAGCCGUCAUUAGCUAAAGAAAAGUAGAUCUAGCCUAGCUCGUCUUUUGGUUGUUCAUUGAUAUGCCAAAUAUUAAAGAUUUCUAAUAGAAAGUGCAUAGAUGAUGCAUUCAAGUGAAGACAAAAACAAUGUGGACAUCAAAAGAAGACAACACUCGAACAACUACCGUUGAAGGAGUAGCUGAAUGAAGUAUUUGGCAAAUUAGUGACAUAUAAUCUAGGCAAACCCUAAAGAAGCAGGGAGGGGUGCGUUGAAGGAUAGGAAGAAGUGCAGAAUCACACUACCACUUGUGGAACUUGUUUCCCUCGGAAAGUCGUUUUUUUAAAAAGAAACUUGUGUUUCUAAAGAAAAUAUUUUAAAAUUGAACCAAAUAUGAAAAAUUAUGUGAUUAAAAAAAAUUAUAAACACAAAAAAAAAAUUUCAUCUUCCGCCGCCCACCGUUGCAUGGCCAAUAAAGUUUUUUGUCCGAAACUCCUUAAGAACCUCGGAUUUCAUGUCCGCCGUUUAAACUCAGCUCCGUCACCUCUUUCCGCCGUCCCACCGCUAAAUUUUACUGGCGAUUUUAACGCCGUGGAACCCGCACAACAAAUUAACACAACCCUUCACCACCACCACGACCAUCACAACAUUAUCAAUUUCGAUGAUGUUAAGGAGCUUUUCUACGGUGUUCCCACCACGAAACUGAUUCGAUCUUCGAUGACGUUACAAAUGGCUGCUAUUGAUCCCAUGGUUGAUUUGGGCAUGUGGGUAAUGAAUUCUAAACUUAUGGAAAUGCCUAUUUUUAGGGAGGUUAUUCUUGGGUUUGUUAAAAAUACAUUUUAUGAACAUUUUUGCGCCGGCAAAGACUUAACGGAAGCUAGACGGACCGUUACUAAUCUAUCGGAUUCUGGGUUAAAAGCCAUGCUUGAUUAUGGGGUGGAACAUGCCACCGAUAAUGAAUCUUGUGAACAGAGUACUGCGGCGUUUAUUCAAACGAUUGAAUCAACCAAAUCACUUCCCGAAUCUUCUGCAAGUUUUGUGGUAGCAAAGAUAACUGCUAUUUGUACCCCAAGGCUUCUCAAAAGAAUGAGUGAUUUGUUAAGAUGGGAACAGAAAGAUCCAUCAUUUAAUCUUCCAUGGAAGCGAGAGUCGCUUCCCCUUUUCGCCGAAUCGAGCCCUGUUUAUCACACUUGUAGCAAACCAGAGCCUCUAUCGGUAGAGGAAGAGCGUGAUCUUCAAUUAGCUCAUGAAAGACUUAGAAAAAUUUGCGAGAAAUGUUUGGAACAUGAAGUUCCAUUACUAAUUGAUGCGGAAGACACAACCAUUCAACCUGCAAUUGAUUAUUUUGCGUAUUCAGCAGCAAUUAAGUAUCACAAAGAUGAUCAGCCUUUGAUAUUCGGAACAAUUCAAGCUUACUUGAAGGACGCCAAGGAACGAAUGGUUAUUGCGAAAAAGGCUGCAGAGAAAAUGGGAGUUCCAAUGGGAUUUAAGCUUGUGAGGGGCGCUUAUAUGUGUAGUGAAAAGGAAUUGGCUUCUACAUUAGGAUUCAACUCUCCAAUUCACGACAGCAUUGAGCAAACACACGCUUGCUUCAAUUCGUGCGCGGAGUUUAUGAUUGAAGAGAUUGCUAAUGGUUCUGGUGCAGUUGUUCUCGCCACUCAUAACAUUGAAUCAGGAAAACUUGCUGCAACCAAAGCUAUAGAUUUGGGAAUAAAAGAUGAGAGACAAAAUCUCCAAUUUGCUCAGCUAUAUGGUAUGGCAGAUGGGCUUUCAUUUGGGCUGAGAAAUGCAGGAUUUCAAGUAAGCAAAUAUUUACCAUUUGGUCCUGUAGAGCAGAUUAUGCAUUACCUUAUGAGGCGUGCUGAAGAAAACAGAGGCAUGCUGUCUACAUCGGCAUUCGACAGACAACUCAUGAGGAAGGAAUUGAGCAGGAGAUUCGAAGUGGCUACUUCUUAAAUUCAUAUUCAGAAUAUGAAAUCUAUAUUAGUAAGUAAGAAAUAAUAAACGAGGAAACAUCGCCGACUACUGUAAAUAAUUCAAUGAUGUGAGGGCAAAAAUUGAUGAGGAUGAUCAAAGCAACCUGGAUGGGUAAAAUGCAUGAGGAGGAAGUCAGUUUUUAUCUUUGUGUGUGUUAUGAAAAAUAAAAAAAUUGUACAUAUUUAUUUUAGGUCCACUACUUGUAUCUUUCUCCAUGUGCUAUUUUUUAGGUUCUAUUAUAUUUACUAUAUAAUGUACUAGUUCCUUAAGUUGGUUUUUAUUUGGUAUCGUGUUUUAGAAAUAGAAAUGGAAGAAGGUAUUCCCAGAGUGGAGCCAAAAUGUCGAAAUUACAAAGUGUGUAUCAGUUUCUCUCUCUCUAUCGAGACAUUAUGAAAUAAAUCGGAUUUAUU
RNAcentral lists this unclassified non-coding RNA (2371 nucleotides) under Hevea brasiliensis (rubber tree). The record is from RNAcentral. Lineage: Eukaryota; Viridiplantae; Streptophyta; Magnoliopsida; Malpighiales; Euphorbiaceae.